AUGGCGCAAGGUACCGCGCCCUCCGCGGCCGGCGGAGGCGGCGGGGGUGUUUUCUCCACCCCGGCGGCGGUCGCGACGACUCCCCCAGGCACCCCCCGCGCGGCGGCGGCGGCGCAGCCGGUCCCCUCCGGGCACUACGCGGUAGAGCUCUACUUCGAUCCCGCGCUGGAGAACCAGGUGCUCAAGGCGUGGAACGCUCUCGCGCGGCGGCAGCUCAGCAGCCGCCUCAUCGACACCGCGUCCCGCCCGCACCUCCCGCUGCUGCAUCUCCCGGCCGCCGCGCUCCCCGACCCGCUCCGCCUCGCGCCCGCCCUCCGCGCGCUCGCCUCCCGCAUCGACCCGCUCCCUCUCGCGCUCUCCUCGCUCGCGUCGCCCCCGUCAUCCCUUGAUGCGGGGGUCCUCUUCCUUUCGCCCACGCCAUCGGCGGCGCUGCUCGGCCUCCACGCGCAGCUCUGCGAGCUGCUGCGCAAGGACACGGGGCUCGAGGUGCCCGACGGGUUCCGCCCAGACAACUGGGUCCCGCGGUGCGCCGUCGCCGUCGAUGUGCCACGUGGCCGUAUGGCCGAGGCCUUCUGCGUGCUCCGUGAGCUCAAGCUUCUGCCUGUCUCCGGGUAUGGUAUGGACAUUGCGCUGGUAGAAGUCGGGCCGGUGGUCAGAGAGGUCGUAUCGUACCCGCUUGGUGGCAGCGGCGGCGUUGGAGCCGAUUGA
RNAcentral lists this ribosomal RNA (708 nucleotides) under Triticum aestivum (bread wheat). RNAcentral describes it as "partial small subunit ribosomal RNA". The record is from RNAcentral. Lineage: Eukaryota; Viridiplantae; Streptophyta; Magnoliopsida; Poales; Poaceae.